AGGACGAACGCUGGUGGCGUGCUUAACACAUGCAAGUCGAACGGUGAAGCCCAGCUUGCUGGGUGGAUCAGUGGCGAACGGGUGAGUAACACGUGAGCAACCUGCCCCCUACUUCGGGAUAAGCCUUGGAAACGAGGUCUAAUACCGGAUAUGAGCACUUACCGCAUGGUGGGUGUUGGAAAGUUUUUCGGUGGGGGAUGGGCUCGCGGCCUAUCAGCUUGUUGGUGGGGUAAUGGCCUACCAAGGCGUCGACGGGUA
RNAcentral lists this ribosomal RNA (258 nucleotides) under uncultured soil bacterium. RNAcentral describes it as "partial 16S ribosomal RNA". It matches the Rfam family "Bacterial small subunit ribosomal RNA", at positions 26 to 285 of the family's 1533-position model. The record is from RNAcentral.